RNAcentral lists this long non-coding RNA (797 nucleotides) under Equus caballus (horse). Its description in RNAcentral is "lncRNA (ENSECAG00000045345.1)". The record is from RNAcentral. Lineage: Eukaryota; Metazoa; Chordata; Mammalia; Perissodactyla; Equidae.
CAUGAUAUUGCAAAACUUGAUGCCCCUUUGGAAAGAGUGGGCUGUCUGCUUGGAGCCUCUGCCUUCUCUAUCCAAAUACACGCGUCCACGCAAGGUCACCUUCAUCCUUGCAAAGAGACAAGGUCCAGCUUCUAGAAGAAAAGCUCUAGAAAGCUCCCACUCUACCUUCGCAGCUACCAUGACAGUCUGACCAUGGACUUGCCCGAAAGAGACAUGCUCACUGGUGCAUUCAGCAUUUCCCGAGGGGCCCCCUGGACCAGCCCCUGCGUCGGGCUUUGGGGACUCAGAAACAACCACAAGCCCUCGUUGCUGGAUCCAGACACCAGUGCAAGAGAAAGACACACAAACCGAUGACAGAUAGACAUGAUGGAACAACGACCGACCAGGGAGGCCAGUCUCAGGAGAGCAGCUGACGUGAUUCAGGGCAAACCCGGACAGAAGCUUCCAUGAAGGCAGUGACCUUAGGCCCGCGUUCUUAAAGAAGAGACCCCUAAACCAGAGUCCACGGAUGGGACCCACUGAGUCCCAGAAACCAGAGGGAUCCUAUGCAGAAUGGUGGGAACACACAUCGUUCCCUGGGAGAGAGUGUGCAAUUUCUCAUGUGACGGUCGAAGGGGGUUUUAAGUCCCUCUCUCCCUGGAAGAGUUUAAGAGCCACUGUCUUAUUGGAUGAGGAGGCAUUUCUAGCUGCAGAACGUGGAGAAAGGCCUUCCCAGCAAAGGAAACAGCACGUGCAAAGGGAGAGCUCUCUGAUGGCUGGUUUGGGGCAUGGACUGGAAGGAGAGAUGCCAGAUGCGG